Molecule: ribosomal RNA, 1433 nt
Filed under: uncultured organism
Description: SSU rRNA
Rfam family: Bacterial small subunit ribosomal RNA
Source: RNAcentral
CCGGCUUAACACAUGCAAGUCGAGGGGCAGCAUGGUCUUAGCUUGCUAAGGCCGAUGGCGACCGGCGCACGGGUGAGUAACACGUAUCCAACCUGCCGUCUACUCUUGGACAGCCUUCUGAAAGGAAGAUUAAUACAAGAUGGCAUCAUGAGUCCGCAUGUUCACAUGAUUAAAGGUAUUCCGGUAGACGAUGGGGAUGCGUUCCAUUAGAUAGUAGGCGGGGUAACGGCCCACCUAGUCUUCGAUGGAUAGGGGUUCUGAGAGGAAGGUCCCCCACAUUGGAACUGAGACACGGUCCAAACUCCUACGGGAGGCAGCAGUGAGGAAUAUUGGUCAAUGGGCGAGAGCCUGAACCAGCCAAGUAGCGUGAAGGAUGACUGCCCUAUGGGUUGUAAACUUCUUUUAUAAAGGAAUAAAGUCGGGUAUGCAUACCCGUUUGCAUGUACUUUAUGAAUAAGGAUCGGCUAACUCCGUGCCAGCAGCCGCGGUAAUACGGAGGAUCCGAGCGUUAUCCGGAUUUAUUGGGUUUAAAGGGAGCGUAGAUGGAUGUUUAAGUCAGUUGUGAAAGUUUGCGGCUCAACCGUAAAAUUGCAGUUGAUACUGGAUAUCUUGAGUGCAGUUGAGGCAGGCGGAAUUCGUGGUGUAGCGGUGAAAUGCUUAGAUAUCACGAAGAACUCCGAUUGCGAAGGCAGCCUGCUAAGCUGCAACUGACAUUGAGGCUCGAAAGUGUGGGUAUCAAACAGGAUUAGAUACCCUGGUAGUCCACACGGUAAACGAUGAAUACUCGCUGUUUGCGAUAUACAGCAAGCGGCCAAGCGAAAGCGUUAAGUAUUCCACCUGGGGAGUACGCCGGCAACGGUGAAACUCAAAGGAAUUGACGGGGGCCCGCACAAGCGGAGGAACAUGUGGUUUAAUUCGAUGAUACGCGAGGAACCUUACCCGGGCUUAAAUUGCAGAUGAAUUACGGUGAAAGCCGUAAGCCGCAAGGCAUCUGUGAAGGUGCUGCAUGGUUGUCGUCAGCUCGUGCCGUGAGGUGUCGGCUUAAGUGCCAUAACGAGCGCAACCCUUGUUGUCAGUUACUAACAGGUUCCGCUGAGGACUCUGACAAGACUGCCAUCGUAAGAUGUGAGGAAGGUGGGGAUGACGUCAAAUCAGCACGGCCCUUACGUCCGGGGCUACACACGUGUUACAAUGGGGGGGUACAGAGGGCCGCUACCACGCGAGUGGAUGCCAAUCCCAAAAACCUCUCUCAGUUCGGACUGGAGUCUGCAACCCGACUCCACGAAGCUGGAUUCGCUAGUAAUCGCGCAUCAGCCACGGCGCGGUGAAUACGUUCCCGGGCCUUGUACACACCGCCCGUCAAGCCAUGGGAGCCGGGGGUACCUGAAGUGCGUAACCGCGAGGAGCGCCCUAGGGUAAAACUGGUGACUGGG